UCUAUAAUGCAGUCGAGCGCGGGAAGCAAACCGAACUCUUCGGAGUGAGGUUUGUGGAACGAGCGGCGGACGGGUGAGUAACACGUGGGCAACCUGCCCGUAAGACGGGGAUAACCCCGGGAAACCGGAGCUAAUACCGGAUAGACUUUUCCUUCGCAUGAAGGGAAAGGGAAAGAUGGUUUCGGCCAUCGCUUACGGAUGGGCCCGCGGCGCAUUAGCUGGUUGGUGGGGUAACGGCCUACCAAGGCAACGAUGCGUAGCCGACCUGAGAGGGUGAUCGGCCACACUGGGACUGAGACACGGCCCAGACUCCUACGGGAGGCAGCAGUAGGGAAUCUUCCGCAAUGGACGAAAGUCUGACGGAGCAACGCCGCGUGAGUGAGGAAGGUUUUCGGAUCGUAAAGCUCUGUUGUUAGAGAAGAAUAGGCGUCAUAGGAAAUGAUGGCGCUGUGACGGUAUCUAACCAGAAAGCCCCGGCUAACUACGUGCCAGCAGCCGCGGUAAUACGUAGGGGGCGAGCGUUGUCCGGAAUUAUUGGGCGUAAAGCGCGCGCAGGCGGCUCUUUAAGUCUGAUGUGAAAGCCCGCGGCUCAACCGCGGAGGGUCAUUGGAAACUGGGGAGCUUGAGUGCAGGAGAGGAGAGUGGAAUUCCACGUGUAGCGGUGAAAUGCGUAGAGAUGUGGAGGAACACCAGUGGCGAAAGCGGCUCUCUGGCCUGUCACUGACGCUGAGGCGCGAAAGCGUGGGGGAGCAAACAGGAUUAGAUACCCUGGUAGUCCACGCCGUAAACGAUGAGUGCUAGGUGU
RNAcentral lists this ribosomal RNA (805 nucleotides) under Pullulanibacillus camelliae. RNAcentral's name for it is "bacterial SSU rRNA". It matches the Rfam family "Bacterial small subunit ribosomal RNA", at positions 48 to 823 of the family's 1533-position model. Lineage: Bacteria; Bacillati; Bacillota; Bacilli; Caryophanales; Sporolactobacillaceae. The record is from RNAcentral.